UGGGGAAUAUUGCACAAUGGGCGCAAGCCUGAUGCAGCCAUGCCGCGUGUGUGAAGAAGGCCUUCGGGUUGUAAAGCACUUUCAGCGAGGAGGAAGGUGGUGAACUUAAUACGUUCAUCAAUUGACGUUACUCGCAGAAGAAGCACCGGCUAACUCCGUGCCAGCAGCCGCGGUAAUACGGAGGGUGCAAGCGUUAAUCGGAAUUACUGGGCGUAAAGCGCACGCAGGCGGUUUGUUAAGUCAGAUGUGAAAUCCCCGGGGCUCAACCUGGGAACUGCAUUUGAAACUGGCAAGCUAGAGUCUCGUAGAGGGGGGUAGAAUUCCAGGUGUAGCGGUGAAAUGCGUAGAGAUCUGGAGGAAUACCGGUGGCGAAGGCGGCCCCCUGGANGAAGACUGACGCUCAGGUGCGAAAGGCGUGGGGGAGCAAACAGGAUUAGAUACCCCUGGUAGUCCACGCUGUAAACGAUGUCGAUUUUGGA
RNAcentral lists this ribosomal RNA (479 nucleotides) under uncultured bacterium. Its description in RNAcentral is "partial 16S ribosomal RNA". It matches the Rfam family "Bacterial small subunit ribosomal RNA", at positions 355 to 822 of the family's 1533-position model. The record is from RNAcentral.